GGUAGUGCAAAAGUCACGCGUCCACGCCGUUUAGGCACGACCCAAACAAACGGUAGCCGAUGGUGUUCGGUAAUCUACCAAAAUGUCGAGAUGCUGUUCACUGUGCAAAAGCAUGCUCUUUGCAUUGACUUCCGAAGGAUCACAACUUUCAGAACCGGGGACAGUACGAAGCAGGAUUUUCAGAUCGGUUACUCCUCGAAAACGACUCAGUUCCCUCUUUAAUGGGAUAUACAGGAUUAAAACCUGAACCAAAUCCCAACACUUCUUCACUCAAGCCCCAUUCCAUGAUGUAGGAUCCCUAACGGACCCACCUCAGUGGGCACACAGAGGUAAUCACCAAAGACGGUCUCGCUCCGCACACAGCUGUCCGGGGGUACACUGAGGGAUCACGUGAGAAGCAAAGGAAUCCAGGUAACGGUGGGAUGUCUCAGCGUGGGCACGGAAACCGUGUCCAGUUGACACGGUUACGGUGGCAUCUCCCCCAUUCAUCUCCCCCAUUCAUCUACACCUGUAAAAGGCCCAGGAUUCAGACCCAGCAAGAUACUCUGUUUGGAAGAGGAAGACUUAUCUGCAGAGUUUCAAUCUGAUCCGCUUGACUGAUCGUAUAACCCUGGGGAUUCUGUUACAGAGGAAUCCGAAAUAUGGUUUGGUCCUACGUACGGUGACCGAAAGUCAGACGCGCUGCUUGUGAACAGGCAAGGCUGGUUACUGCUUGGGAGGCUGGUUACUGCUUGGGGGGCUGGUUACUGCUUGGGGGGGCUGGUUACUGCUUGGGGCACCCCCCAGGCAGGCAGACAUAACUUCCUCCACAGUAAAGUCUCAAAAUGUGGCAACCGCAACUCCCCCUCCCCUUUAAAUACAGAUGCUUGAUUUGCCACAACGUCGGAAACCUCCCCAAUGUGCUCCAUUUCAUUCCCGGUAAAUUUUUAUGAUUGAUUCCCACAGCGUCCUCAAAGUUUGCAUUGAAAAUGAAAAGGUGUUAUCCAUCUGGAAGUGACAAAAGAAAGAAAAAAAAACGGCAACAUGUGCCAUGACUGCUAAAAGUCUUUCAACAAUAUGUACCCUGUUUUUUUUGCAAAUCUAAACAUUUUAAAUAAAAUAAUUUAUAUAAUUUGAUUUUGUAAAUUUUUCAAUGGUGUCACAUUGUUUAUAAUAUAAUGGUUAUGUACACUGGUUGGCGGGCCCCCCUAGGAAUAUUUUGCCUAUGGCCCUAAGUGACUCUAGAAUCGCCACUGCCCGAAGUACAAUGUUUUUGAAAGCUGCCUCAGAGAGCUGUUUGAAAUCUGUCCGGUGUGCAAGACAAAUUGAGGUCCAGCAACAGACAGGCAUGUUCAACCAGCAUGGCAGAAUCGGUAAUGACUCAAGACGGUGGCAGAGCCAGCCCAUGUAAGUACGACACCCGUUGGCCACCUCCUGCCAUCAGCUGCCACUUGUUUCCCCCGGUGCGUCGUUGUGCCAACUUUCAACUGUAUUAGUGUUACCAUAUGGAAUUUGUGGGAUUUUCCGACAUAUUUUCCUAUUUUUCAUAUAAUCCUUGCUCUAUAAGCUGAAACUUGUAGAUGAGUUGGUCGCUGCCAAAAAACACCUUAGGGCCUGAGAAGGCGGCCAAGUGGAAGUCAGUUGUCAACCACAUCCAGAAUUUGCAUGCAUGAAGACCACCUCUUCCCCAAGUGGUGGCAUCCUGACAGUGUAUCGGAAUCCAAGUAAACGGUUGCAAUCAGGUAUGGUAACAAAAUGUGCUGGUAAAAUAUAAACGUGUAUUCUAGACGGGUAAGGAAAAAUCCAUUGCACUGGUUGAGUUAUGAUUACAUACAUAUAGAUAACUACAUCAUCUCAUGGACUUCUUAAUGCAGGCCCCUAGGGCACAAACACGCAUACAUAGUACGCGUUUAUCUUUCCUGAAUGUAUUCUAGAGGAUUGUAGACGGGAUAAAUCCAUUUAAAAAGCAUACAAACUUGCCAGAACCACUUCUGGCUCCAUUCCGUAUGGAGUAUGACGAAUCUGUCAUACUUGUGACAACAGUUGUUUGAUGGUUUGUUAACAAGAUAUUAUUAUGUGAAAAUACUUUGUCACUGGAAAUCCUGGGUAGUGCAUUAAGUCUCUGUGCUGACCGACAGACACUGUGAAACCAGAUCCUAAGACCGCACACACACA
Molecule: long non-coding RNA, 2154 nt
Organism: Gadus chalcogrammus (walleye pollock)
Lineage: Eukaryota; Metazoa; Chordata; Actinopteri; Gadiformes; Gadidae
Exons: 4
Source: RefSeq, a predicted model, not a curated record